AGCGAACAUUGGCGGUAGGCUUAACACAUGCAAGUCGAGCGAGGCGUAAUAGUCGAGCGGCGAACGGGUGAGUAGCACAUGGGAAUCUACCCUGAAGUGGGGGAUAACGUUCAGAAAUGAACGCUAAUACCGCAUAAUCCACAUUGGGAAAGCGUUGCAGCGCUUUAGGAUGAGCCCAUGGCUGAUUAGCUAGUUGGUGAGGUAAUGGCUCACCAAGGCGACGAUCAGUAGCUGGUCUGGGAGGAUGAUAGCCACACUGGAACUGAGACACGGUCCAGACUCCUACGGGAGGCAGCAGUGGGGAAUCUUGCGCAAUGGGGGCAACCCUGACGCAGCCAUACCGCGUGAGUGAUGAAGGUCUUCGGAUUGUAAAGCUCUUUUGUCAGGGAAGAAAUGGACUGGGCUAAUACCCUGGUUAGAUGACGGUACCUGAAGAAUAAGCACCGGCUAACUACGUGCCAGCCGCCGCGGUAA
RNAcentral lists this ribosomal RNA (474 nucleotides) under uncultured bacterium. RNAcentral's name for it is "partial 16S ribosomal RNA". It matches the Rfam family "Bacterial small subunit ribosomal RNA", at positions 29 to 523 of the family's 1533-position model. The record is from RNAcentral.